This 4520-nucleotide long non-coding RNA is filed under the name Canis lupus familiaris (dog). RNAcentral's name for it is "lncRNA (ENSCAFG00000053087.1, ENSCAFG00805028598.1)". Lineage: Eukaryota; Metazoa; Chordata; Mammalia; Carnivora; Canidae. The record is from RNAcentral.
UUGGAUAAAGGGAACUGUGUGCAUCUGGGCCCUAGGUGAGUGACAAGGGCAAGUGCUGCCCGCCAGGGCCCACGCUGGAGGAAUGGCUCCUGGGCAGUGUGAGGGGCCCCUCUGUGGGUGUUAAGGUCCCAAUCCUGAGUCCUACCCUCACCCAGCAGCCAAAGGGGCUGUGAGCAUGCAUGUGUGCGUGUGCGUGUGUGUAAGAGAGAGUGCAUAUGUCUGCUUCUGCCCACCUGGGUGACAGUGGCCUGGACGGGGGGUGGCUGGCAUUUUGGCAAAUCCAGGCAGGCAGUGAGAGGGACUGAGGACUAAAUCCAGAGAGACAACAUGCACUGGAAAGUUGGGACACAUAUGAGGAUGGCCCUGCCAUCGGCCUCCCCGCCGUGACAGGAUCAGGAGGGAAGAGUGGAACGGCACGCCCCUGUGUCUGGAUCACUGGAAAGAGUCCUGACACCAGAGCUGCCAGUUCUGUGUCCAUGGGGCCUGUGCAGGAGGGGGCCUUUGCCUCUCUGCCGGGUCCCGGGCUUGUCUCCCAAGGCCUCUGCUCUGACAGAAACGGGAAUAGCAUUGGCUGCCCGGACCCUCCUUGCCCCUAACCUACAGAUGGUCAAACUGAGGCAUGAGACAAGAAGAGAGCCAAACAGCACUGAGGAUACAAGUCGCCCCAGUGUUUGUGGCUUGGGGUUCCUCACCAUGGCCACAGGGAUUAGGGCAGAUUCAUGAAUCCCACAUGGCUGGCAUGCCUCUAUGAUCCGUGGACAUCCUGAAGCUCUCAGAGCCCACCAAGUGAUAAAAGUGGAACCUGGACCAUCGCCCCCCCACCCCCCAACCUCAGGCUAACCCUGCCUCCCUUCCUGCAGCAUGGCCUCCUGGCCUUCUGGCCUCACAUAGCGGCCUCCACGGGGUGAUCUGCUGCCCUGCCUCCGCUCACCUUGCUGUUCUCCCUAUGCAGGUGGCCUGGACACUGCUCUCCAGGAGCCCCCCCAGGCUGCAUCCGUACCCAUUGAGUGCUUGCUGGACACACAGAUACGGCACAGGGAGCCCCACUUGCAAGAACUGCCUGCGGGCGGCUCAGCAAGACUGUUGAGAAGAAGGAACCCAGGCUCAAGCCCCGGGCAGGUUGGUCGGGAGCAUAUGGCAGCUGAUGGUCAGCAGCAGCCCCUGCCACCCGCGCCCCCGCCCUGCUCCCUUGCAUGCAAGGUCAUGGUCUCCAGGGAAGGUCAACGCAGCAGGGGGUGCUCUAAAUGUGCUCCUCCAACUCCAAUGUGUUCUUCCAACUCCAGUGCCUCUGCUGAGAGCCUCAAGCCAACUGGCAAAAGGCGGGAUACUACAGUAAACCGGAGGCCACCAGCAGGGAGGGGACGCACUCUUAAAUGAUACAUUCCUGAGCAGCUGACAUGAUGCAGAGGCAGCCAGCAUCUCUCACAGCAUAGAAACACUCAGGGGCACAAAAGCCUCAGGAGGCCCCACCCUGGCUCAGCCCCAGGCCCAGCAGCCCCUGUCCAGCCAACCCCAAAGCCACCCUUGCAAACUCACCCCAUCUGCGCAGGGUUGGGGGUUCCCAAGAGAACACCCUGCAGAUUUUUUUUUCAAGAGCUGAAUUGGCACAGAAGGACCACCUCAGUGGACCCCUUGCUUACUCCUGGAGAGCCUCAGGCCCUGGGAAGGCGUUCUCCUGGGCCUGGGGACUCGGCCCCACCUGGUGCAGGCCUGGGCUUGGCAUUUGGCUCUUCUGAGGUCUGGGGCCCUGGCCCCCGCCCGGGGAAAUUCCAACAGUGUGGUUUCCUCUCCCUUCUGUGCGCGUCCUCCCCACUGCUCCUGGGCCCUAGUGGCGUCUGCAUGAGGCUGGAGUCGCAGCCAUGGCUCAGGGGGGUGGGGGAGUCAGAGUGCCUGGAGCCCCUGGGCGGUGGCGGUGAGGGACCCCAUCCUCCGUGCCAGGCCCCAGGCAACUCCUUUGCUAGCUCCAGCCCUGGUCGCCGCUCCGGGGUGUGGGUUGGAGGGUGGCCCAGGAUGGCACGUUGUGGAGGCUCCCAGUCCUUGCCGAGGAAGCUUUCCCUGUCAUCUGCUGCUUCCACAGGGGCCAGGCGUCCAGGCCUCCCGGCGCCCCACAACCCCCUUCCUUCUGCGGCAGUGCUCCGAUGCCGGCCGUGAGUCAGCUGUGCCGCCCUGAGCUGCAUGUCUGGGCUCGGGCCUUGCUCUCUGGGCACCUCGGUCCUGACAUCUGGGAACUCAGCAUCCUGACAGCACCCCUGCCAGGCUUCGGGCAAGGGGCCUCAGAGGUCAAAUGCGCCACGCUCCGCCUGGCAAGGGCCCAACAUUAUCUAGGCUGAUGCAUGGUGCUGGGGCAGCAGAGGGAAGGCAUCUUGGUCCAGGUCCCUUCCAGCCUCCCCUCAUGUGCAGCCAGGGACUGGCUCCGGGGCCAGGCAGGAGGGGUGCAGGGACUGGCGGGGAGCCCUCUGCCUCCCACUGCCCCCACAGGGGCCCUGGGCAUCCCAGCCGGACUCAGAACCAAACAGUCUCUGCUGCGCACAGGAUGCUCCCGGGCCACCCAGGCCUCCUUCUUGCUCCAGAGAGCCACCACUCUGGUCCCAGUGCCACCAUGACGUCCUGGGUGUAUCUCACGGGCAGUGAUGUUCCCUGCAUGCCUGCGAUCCCAGCCCCAAAUACCUUAGCUGAGGAGUACCCUACAACAGUCUGAGCAAUGAAAGGCCCCACCUCAAGUGUGCCCUGUGACCUCUGGGCUAUCGCCCACAUGCUGGGCCACCAGGGCAAGCCCAGCUCUGUCACCAACAAGCUGUGUGUCAACCAAGCACUUGCUGGCAUGAGGAUCCCACUUUUCAGCUGCCUGGUGUUUAAUAAGUGAACUCUGGCCUUCCAACGGCCUGUGUGGCCAGCUUGGCCUUCUUGUGAAACACUGGCCACUGCCCCACAUCUAAAACGGUGACUCUAAGGCCACAGGCCACAGCACAGUAGAGAGUCGCUAUCUGGAGCUGCUCCCCUGCACGGCAAUCCUCACUGACUGGGUGUGCAGAGGAUGGGGGUCCCCCCAUUCCUCACACCCCUCAGCUACCCGGGAAGGGCUUCCUCUGGAGGCUGACAUCCUCUCAAGUUUGGAAGCAGCUGGUAGCUGAGGGGAGCUGCAGGAGCUGAAGUAGCCUUGGGGGCCCACGAGCCCCUGUAUUAGCCAUCCCACGCCAGGGAUCUUGGUGACACCUGUCACUCAAGAAAACUGCACCUAUAUCUGAUUGCCACUAAACAUGCAACAUAAAUUGUUCUUUCUUCUCUACCUCUCAGCAGCCACCCCAGCCUGAGGCAGGAAAGAAGGAUCCUAUGCUCCCAGGGCGGGGGCCCCACUCUGCCACACUCCGAGGGUUUGGGGCAAGGGGCCGUGGGAGGGUGGCUGGGCCUGUCACGUCCCUCAGCCAGAGCUCCUCUAACCUGGCUACAGAGGCUCCCUCGUCUGACGCAGCCUCCUGUGGAGCAGCCAGCAGCCACCUGCUGUCUUCUUGGCCCAGACGGCACCGUCCUCACACACCAAAAGCUUCUGGCUUUCUGGAUCAAACCAAAUCUGAUCCCCCGCCUUGAAAAUGCACAGGAUUCCAAACACAAAGAAACAGCAGAAACCUGGCUGGGGUCAGCCAGAGAGGGAGGCAGGAAGAAAGACAGAGCCAGGUGCUCAGAAAGUGGAGCCUGGGCCUGGGCAGGUGGACGGUGGGGGCAGGAUCAGGUGGGGUACAGAGAGCCCUCCUCUGAGUCGGAGCUGGGGGCUGGGGGGUACUGGCUGCAGGGGAUUUGUUUUCCAUGGAAGCAGAGAGCUGCCCAAUCCACAGCAACACAGCAAGCCCGAGGUGCUUCCCUGGCAGGACUGUAAUCAGAAAGCCCAGUGGGUGAGGUAAGCGGGCAGCUGCCCCCGGCUAAGGGUUGAGAAUGGAGACUCAGGGGCCCCAAAGCAGCUCUCGGGGGGUCAGGGGCCUGCCCACACGCAGGCUCCCCAGGCACGCCCAUCCAGCCACAGGGAAAAGACCAGACCGGUCCCUGCUCCAGCCCUGGCGGCACUCUGAGUCUCUGACAGUUAGAAGCCCUCUGGGGAGUCCAGUGGGGGUGCAGACAGCUUCAGGCCAGUCCUACUGUUCAGCAAUUACCACGUCAGAAAGCAAAUGAAAACAGACAUGGAGAGGCUCAGCUUGUCACUGUGACUUUGGAUCGCCUGUCUCUUCAUUUCAGAUCAGUACCCGACCCCCAGCGGCCCCAACGCCUCCUGUGAGCUCCUUCCCCCGCCCUGGGGUCCGGCUCCCUAACAACCAGGUGUACAGGUGCCCUGGGGGGCAAGCACUGGGCUGGAGUGUGUGCAUCCUCACUCCUGCCCUGGCUCGGUCCCCGGGGAGACCACAGUGCAAACAUUCAGACAGGGGCUGGGGACCCAGAGGAAGGCUCGGCCACAUCCUGACCUUCGGUGAGCCCCUGCUGCCUGGCCUGGAAGUCCCAGUGUGCCCUGGCAGUGGGCAGGGAGCUGUACAGGG